UACGUAGGGUGCGAGCGUUGUCCGGAAUUAUUGGGCGUAAAGGGCUCGUAGGCGGUUUGUCGCGUCGGGAGUGAAAAUCCAGGGCUUAACUCUGGACUGGCUUCCGAUACGGGCAGACUAGAGGUAUGCAGGGGAGAACGGAAUUCCUGGUGUAGCGGUGAAAUGCGCAGAUAUCAGGAGGAACACCGGUGGCGAAGGCGGUUCUCUGGGCAUUACCUGACGCUGAGGAGCGAAAGCGUGGGGAGCAGACAGG
RNAcentral lists this ribosomal RNA (253 nucleotides) under uncultured bacterium. Its description in RNAcentral is "partial 16S ribosomal RNA". It matches the Rfam family "Bacterial small subunit ribosomal RNA", at positions 524 to 776 of the family's 1533-position model. The record is from RNAcentral.